Molecule: ribosomal RNA, 301 nt
Filed under: uncultured bacterium
Lineage: Bacteria
Description: partial 16S ribosomal RNA
Rfam family: Bacterial small subunit ribosomal RNA
Source: RNAcentral
CAGCCGCCGCGGGAAUACGAAGGGGGCUAGCGUUGUUCGGAUUUACUGGGCGUAAAGCGCACGUAGGCGGAUCGAUCAGUCAGGGGUGAAAUCCCAGAGCUCAACUCUGGAACUGCCUUUGAUACUGUCGAUCUGGAGUAUGGAAGAGGUGAGUGGAAUUCCGAGUGUAGAGGUGAAAUUCGUGGAUAUUCGGAGGAACACCAGUGGCGGAGGCGGCUCACUGGUCCAUUACUGACGCUGAGGUGCGAAAGCGUGGGGAGCAAACAGGAUUAGAUACCCGUGUAGUCCCUGUCUCUUAUAC